This 458-nucleotide ribosomal RNA is filed under the name uncultured bacterium. RNAcentral's name for it is "bacterial SSU rRNA". It matches the Rfam family "Bacterial small subunit ribosomal RNA", at positions 1 to 536 of the family's 1533-position model. The record is from RNAcentral.
UCUGAGAGUUUGAUCCUUGCUCAGGUUGAACGCUGGCGGCAUGCAUUACACUGACAAGCCCCACCGUACUCAAGGGCAACCCGGCGGCGAGUAAAAACGGGUGAGUAAUGCAUCGAACGUGCGCAACAGUGGGGGAUAGCGCGGCGAGAACCGGAGUAAUACCGCAUACGAACUACGUGUGAAAGCGGGGGACCAUAAGGCCUAGUGCUGUUGGGCNAAACGAUGUCAGAUUAGGUAGUUAGUGGGGUAAAGGGAUAACAUAGUUGCGAGGUCCAGCUGGUCUGAGAGGACGGACCGGUAGAUGGUCUGCGAGACACUCCCCGCUCUACGGGAGACAGCAGUGGGGAAUUUUACGCAAUGAGCCAAGCCUAAUCCUGCCUACCGCGCCAGCCUGAAGGCCUUCUGCCGCGUUAGUNCUUAAGCCUUUGGGACAUCAGCCGCGGUAAUACAUGCUCACC